Non-coding RNA from Chlorocebus sabaeus (green monkey), 738 nucleotides. Lineage: Eukaryota; Metazoa; Chordata; Mammalia; Primates; Cercopithecidae. The record is from RefSeq and is a predicted model, not a curated record.
GUGAUUCAUGCCAUUUCCAGGCCUGGGCUAAAAAACACCUCCCACUUGAUCUUUUCUCUCACUCACCUCCACUGCUGGAAAGAUGCAGGGACCUAGCAGAGGGCUUGGAACCUCUGAGGAAGAGCAGAGCCACAAGAGGGAGGGAGCCCGGGCUCUGAAUCACCAUGUGGAUGCAGCUGAUUUACCAUGACUGACGGAACAAAGAGGAAACUGCAGCUCGAGGAGGUAAAGAGAUUUGCCUAAGAUGACUGCUGACGAGGGCUGGAGCCAGAAUGUGAACCUGGUUGAUUCCAACUCCAGACCAAGUAUUCAACUCCUCUGCUGAGUGGAAGGUGGCAGAGGUGGAGGAUGUGUCCAAGUAUGAAGCUCACAGGCCACACCCAGGUCUUCACAUAAUUGAACGUGAUGUUACCCUAAGAGUAUUGCACCAAGUGAAUAUACAUCAAUGACCUGCCAGUUUCCUACUGAUGGAUAUUUAUAUUAGCUUCAACAGUCUUGCAAUGGCCUUCCCUCUACAUGCGACUUUGAGCAAGUGUAUGAUUGUGUGUGGGACAGAGAGUUCUACUGGUGGAAUUGCUGGUCCAAAGGUGAAGCAGGUUUAAGAGUAGCAGCUGCUGUGGAUGUCAGGCAGGGCGCGGUGGCUCAUACCUGUAAUCCCAGCACUUUGGGAGGCUGAGGCGGGUAGAUCAUGAGGUCAAGAGUUUGAGACCAUCCUGUCCAACAUGGUGAAAGCCCAUC